Non-coding RNA from Gossypium raimondii (Peruvian cotton), 87 nucleotides. Lineage: Eukaryota; Viridiplantae; Streptophyta; Magnoliopsida; Malvales; Malvaceae. The record is from Rfam.
CACGUCAGCGCGAUGUGCUGACUCAACGGGAAAUCGCAUCCUAGAGGAAGCGAUUUCCUGUUGAGUUAGCAUAUCGCGCUGACGUGG